This 227-nucleotide ribosomal RNA is filed under the name uncultured bacterium. RNAcentral's name for it is "partial 16S ribosomal RNA". It matches the Rfam family "Bacterial small subunit ribosomal RNA", at positions 109 to 334 of the family's 1533-position model. The record is from RNAcentral.
AGUAACGCGUGGGUAACCUGCCUCAUACAGGGGGAUAACAGUUAGAAAUGGCUGCUAAUACCGCAUAAGCCCACGGCUCGGCAUCGAGCAGAGGGAAAAGGAGUGAUCCGCUUUGAGAUGGCCUCGCGUCCGAUUAGCUAGUUGGUGAGGUAACGGCCCACCAAGGCAACGAUCGGUAGCCGGACUGAGAGGUUGAACGGCCACAUUGGGACUGAGACACGGCCCAG